This 74-nucleotide transfer RNA is filed under the name Pseudomonadota bacterium. RNAcentral describes it as "tRNA-Gln". It matches the Rfam family "tRNA". From Rfam's summary of the family: Transfer RNA (tRNA) molecules are approximately 80 nucleotides in length. RNAcentral also lists the same sequence under 1 other name. The record is from RNAcentral. Lineage: Bacteria; Pseudomonadati; Pseudomonadota.
UGCCGGGUCGUCUAAUGGCAGGACGCCAGACUCUGGAUCUGGUAGUGGUGGUUCGAGUCCACCCCCGGCAGCCA